RNAcentral lists this ribosomal RNA (253 nucleotides) under uncultured bacterium. Its description in RNAcentral is "partial 16S ribosomal RNA". It matches the Rfam family "Bacterial small subunit ribosomal RNA", at positions 524 to 776 of the family's 1533-position model. The record is from RNAcentral.
UACGUAGGGUGCAAGCGUUGUCCGGAAUUAUUGGGCGUAAAGGGCUCGUAGGCGGUCCAUCGCGUCGGGAGUGAAAAGCUGGGGCUUAACCCCAGUCCUGCUUCCGAUACGGGUGGACUAGAGGUAGGUAGGGGAGAACGGAAUUCCUGGUGUAGCGGUGAAAUGCGCAGAUAUCAGGAGGAACACCGGUGGCGAAGGCGGUUCUCUGGGCCUUACCUGACGCUGAGGAGCGGAAGCAUGGGGAGCAAACAGG